This 484-nucleotide ribosomal RNA is filed under the name uncultured bacterium. Its description in RNAcentral is "partial 16S ribosomal RNA". It matches the Rfam family "Bacterial small subunit ribosomal RNA", at positions 30 to 507 of the family's 1533-position model. The record is from RNAcentral.
AUUGAACGCUGGCGGCAGGCCUAACACAUGCAAGUCGAGCGGAUGAAGGGAGCUUGCUCCUGGAUUCAGCGGCGGACGGGUGUGUAAUGCCUAGGAAUCUGCCUGGUAGUGGGGGAUAACGUCCGGAAACGGGCGCUAAUACCGCAUACGUCCUGAGGGAGAAAGUGGGGGAUCUUCGGACCUCACGCUAUCAGAUGAGCCUAGGUCGGAUUAGCUAGUUGGUGGGGUAAAGGCCUACCAAGGCGACGAUCCGUAACUGGUCUGAGAGGAUGAUCAGUCACACUGGAACUGAGACACGGUCCAGACUCCUACGGGAGGCAGCAGUUGGGAAUAUUGGACAAUGGGCGAAAGCCUGAUCCAGCCAUGCCGCGUGUGUGAAGAAGGUCUUCGGAUUGUAAAGCACUUUAAGUUGGGAGGAAGGGCAGUAAGUUAAUACCUUGCUGUUUUGACGUUACCAACAGGAUAAGCACCGGCUAACUUCGUG